GGAAUAACUGUGGGAAACUACAGCUAAUACCGCAUACGCCCUUCGGGGGAAAGCAGCAAUGCGCUGAAGGAGGAGCCCGCGGCCGAUUAGCUUGUUGGCAGGGUAAAAGCCUACCAAGGCAAAGAUCGGUAGCCGGCCUGAGAGGGCACACGGCCACACUGGCACUGAAACACGGGCCAGACUCCUACGGGAGGCAGCAG
RNAcentral lists this unclassified non-coding RNA (200 nucleotides) under uncultured bacterium. RNAcentral's name for it is "partial contains 16S ribosomal RNA and 16S-23S ribosomal RNA intergenic spacer region". It matches the Rfam family "Bacterial small subunit ribosomal RNA", at positions 140 to 354 of the family's 1533-position model. The record is from RNAcentral.